RNAcentral lists this ribosomal RNA (2645 nucleotides) under metagenome. RNAcentral describes it as "bacterial LSU rRNA". It matches the Rfam family "Bacterial large subunit ribosomal RNA". The record is from RNAcentral.
CAGAUGUGUAUAAGAGACAGGGUUGUAGGACACUCUAUACGGAGUUACAAAAGAACAUGUUAGACGAAUCAUCUGGAAAGAUGAAUCAAAGAAGGUAAUAAUCCUGUAGUCGAAAACAUAUUCUCUCUUGAGUGGAUCCUGAGUACGACGGAGCACGUGAAAUUCCGUCGGAAUCUGGGAGGACCAUCUCCUAAGGCUAAAUACUCUCUAGUGACCGAUAGUGAACCAGUACCGUGAGGGAAAGGUGAAAAGUACCCCGGAAGGGGAGUGAAAGAGAACUUGAAACCGUGUGCUUACAAGUAGUCAGAGCCCGUUAAUGGGUGAUGGCGUGCCUUUUGUAGAAUGAACCGGCGAGUUACGAUCUGAUGCAAGGUUAAGCAGCAAAUGUGGAGCCGCAGCGAAAGCGAGUCUGAAUAGGGCGUUGAGUAUUUGGUCGUAGACCCGAAACCAGGUGAUCUACCCUUGGUCAGGUUGAAGUUCAGGUAACACUGAAUGGAGGACCGAACCGACUUACGUUGAAAAGUGAGCGGAUGAACUGAGGGUAGCGGAGAAAUUCCAAUCGAACUUGGAGAUAGCUGGUUCUCUCCGAAAUAGCUUUAGGGCUAGCCUCAAGUGAUGAUUAUUGGAGGUAGAGCACUGUUUGGACGAGGGGCCCCUCUCGGGUUACCGAAUUCAGACAAACUCCGAAUGCCAAUUAAUUUAACUUGGGAGUCAGAACAUGGGUGAUAAGGUCCGUGUUCGAAAGGGAAACAGCCCAGACCACCAGCUAAGGUCCCAAAAUAUAUGUUAAGUGGAAAAGGAUGUGGCGUUGCCCAGACAACUAGGAUGUUGGCUUAGAAGCAGCCAUCAUUUAAAGAGUGCGUAAUAGCUCACUAGUCGAGUGACACUGCGCCGAAAAUGUACCGGGGCUAAACAUAUUACCGAAGCUGUGGAUUGUCCUUUGGACAAUGGUAGGAGAGCGUUCUAAGGGCGUCGAAGCAUGAUCGCAAGGACAUGUGGAGCGCUUAGAAGUGAGAAUGCCGGUGUGAGUAGCGAAAGACGGGUGAGAAUCCCGUCCACCGAUUGACUAAGGUUUCCAGAGGAAGGCUCGUCCGCUCUGGGUUAGUCGGGUCCUAAGCUGAGGCCGACAGGCGUAGGCGAUGGAUAACAGGUUGAUAUUCCUGUACCACCUAGUAUCGUUUUAAUCGAUGGGGGGACGCAGUAGGAUAGGCGAAGCGUGCUGUUGGAGUGCACGUCCAAGCAGUAAGGCUGAGUGUUAGGCAAAUCCGGCACUCAUAAGGCUGAGCUGUGAUGGGGAGAGGAAAUUGUUUCCUCGAGUCGUUGAUUUCACACUGCCGAGAAAAGCCUCUAGAUAGAUAACAGGUGCCCGUACCGCAAACCGACACAGGUAGUCAAGAUGAGAAUUCUAAGGUGAGCGAGCGAACUCUCGUUAAGGAACUCGGCAAAAUGACCCCGUAACUUCGGGAGAAGGGGUGCUCUUUAGGGUUCACGCCCAGAAGAGCCGCAGUGAAUAGGCCCAAGCGACUGUUUAUCAAAAACACAGGUCUCUGCUAAACCGUAAGGUGAUGUAUAGGGGCUGACGCCUGCCCGGUGCUGGAAGGUUAAGAGGAGUGGUUAGCUUCUGCGAAGCUACGAAUCGAAGCCCCAGUAAACGGCGGCCGUAACUAUAACGGUCCUAAGGUAGCGAAAUUCCUUGUCGGGUAAGUUCCGACCCGCACGAAAGGCGUAACGAUUUGGGCACUGUCUCAACGAGAGACUCGGUGAAAUCAUAGUACCUGUGAAGAUGCAGGUUACCCGCGACAGGACGGAAAGACCCCGUGGAGCUUUACUGUAGCCUGAUAUUGAAAUUCGGCACAGCUUGUACAGGAUAGGUAGGAGCCUUUGAAACGUGAGCGCUAGCUUACGUGGAGGCGUUGGUGGGAUACUACCCUAGCUGUGUUGGCUUUCUAACCCGCACCACUUAUCGUGGUGGGAGACAGUGUCAGGCGGGCAGUUUGACUGGGGCGGUCGCCUCCUAAAAGGUAACGGAGGCGCUCAAAGGUUCCCUCAGAAUGGUUGGAAAUCAUUCAUAGAGUGUAAAGGCAUAAGGGAGCUUGACUGCGAGACCUACAAGUCGAGCAGGGUCGAAAGACGGACUUAGUGAUCCGGUGGUUCCGCAUGGAAGGGCCAUCGCUCAACGGAUAAAAGCUACCCCGGGGAUAACAGGCUUAUCUCCCCCAAGAGUUCACAUCGACGGGGAGGUUUGGCACCUCGAUGUCGGCUCAUCGCAUCCUGGGGCUGUAGUCGGUCCCAAGGGUUGGGCUGUUCGCCCAUUAAAGCGGUACGCGAGCUGGGUUCAGAACGUCGUGAGACAGUUCGGUCCCUAUCCGUCGUGGGCGUAGGAAAUUUGAGAGGAGCUGUCCUUAGUACGAGAGGACCGGGAUGGACAUACCUCUGGUGUACCAGUUGUCGUGCCAACGGCAUAGCUGGGUAGCUAUGUAUGGACGGGAUAAGUGCUGAAAGCAUCUAAGCAUGAAGCCCCCCUCAAGAUGAGAUUUCCCAACUUCGGUUAUAAGAUCCCUCGAAGAUGACGAGGUUAAUAGGUUCGAGGUGGAAGCGUGGUGACACGUGGAGCUGACGAAUACUAAUCGAUCGAAGACUUAAUC